UACAGAGGUCUCAAGCGUUGUUCGGAUUCAUUGGGCGUAAAGGGUGCGUAGGCGGCGCGGUAAGUCGGGUGUGAAAUCUCGGAGCUUAACUCCGAAACUGCAUUCGAUACUGCCGUGCUUGAGGACUGGAGAGGAGACUGGAAUCUACGGUGUAGCGGUGAAAUGCGUAGAUAUCGUAAGGAAGACCAGUGGCGAAGGCGGGUCUCUGGACAGUUCCUGACGCUGAGGCACGAAGGUCAGGGGAGCAAACGGG
Molecule: ribosomal RNA, 253 nt
Filed under: uncultured bacterium
Lineage: Bacteria
Description: partial 16S ribosomal RNA
Rfam family: Bacterial small subunit ribosomal RNA
Source: RNAcentral